This 107-nucleotide small nuclear RNA is filed under the name Cervus hanglu yarkandensis (Yarkand deer). The record is from RNAcentral. Lineage: Eukaryota; Metazoa; Chordata; Mammalia; Artiodactyla; Cervidae.
GUGCUCACUUUGGCAGCACAUAUACUAAAAGUAGAAUGAUACAGAGAAGAUUAGCAUGGCCCCUGUGCAAGGAUGACAGGCAAAUUUGUGCAGUGGCCCAUAUUUUU